AAACUUAGACUUUUUUGUUGAAGAAAAAAAUGUUUUGAAAGGAAGAGUAACCCAAGAAAAAGACGGUUCAAUUUCAAUCAAUGCUUCUGUUUCCUCUGGCAGAUCAACACUAUUAGUUGUCGAUAAAAAAGAGAAAAGAUUUUCAGAAUUUGCGAACUGGAAUGUAAAGCAAGAGUAUCGAGC
Long non-coding RNA from Saccostrea cuccullata (small rock oyster), 183 nucleotides. RefSeq lists it as uncharacterized. The transcript has 4 exons. NCBI's taxonomy places the organism in Eukaryota, Metazoa, Mollusca, Bivalvia, Ostreida, Ostreidae. The record is from RefSeq and is a predicted model, not a curated record.